UAUGGUGAGAAGGGUAAGAAG
RNAcentral lists this microRNA (21 nucleotides) under Cynara cardunculus (cardoon). Its description in RNAcentral is "cca-miR6108f". The record is from miRBase by way of RNAcentral. Lineage: Eukaryota; Viridiplantae; Streptophyta; Magnoliopsida; Asterales; Asteraceae.